RNAcentral lists this ribosomal RNA (775 nucleotides) under uncultured Prevotellaceae bacterium. RNAcentral's name for it is "bacterial SSU rRNA". It matches the Rfam family "Bacterial small subunit ribosomal RNA", at positions 72 to 844 of the family's 1533-position model. Lineage: Bacteria; Pseudomonadati; Bacteroidota; Bacteroidia; Bacteroidales; Prevotellaceae. The record is from RNAcentral.
UUAUGUGCUUGCACAUUUUGGACGUCGACCGGCGCACGGGUGAGUAUCGCGUAUCCAACCUGCCCUUUACUUGGGGAUACCCCGUUGAAAGACGGCCUAAUACCCGAUGUAAUCCAUUGAUGGCAUCAGAUAUGAAUAAAAGAUUUAUCGGUAAAGGAUGGGGAUGCGUCUGAUUAGCUUGUUGGUGAGGUAAUGGCUCACCAAGGCAACGAUCAGUAGGGGUUCUGAGAGGAAGGUCCCCCACAUUGGAACUGAGACACGGUCCAAACUCCUACGGGAGGCAGCAGUGAGGAAUAUUGGUCAAUGGGCGCAAGCCUGAACCAGCCAAGUAGCGUGCAGGAAGACGGCCCUAUGGGUUGUAAACUGCUUUUAUACGAGAAUAAUUUGAUGCACGUGUGCGUUAUUGCAUGUAUCGUAUGAAUAAGGACCGGCUAAUUCCGUGCCAGCAGCCGCGGUAAUACGGAAGGUCCAGGCGUUAUCCGGAUUUAUUGGGUUUAAAGGGAGUGUAGGCGGUUUGUUAAGCGUGUUGUGAAAUUUAGAUGCUCAACAUUUAACUUGCAGCGCGAACUGUCAGACUUGAGUACACGCAACGUAUGCGGAAUUCAUGGUGUAGCGGUGAAAUGCUUAGAUAUCAUGAAGAACUCCGAUUGCGAAGGCAGCAUACGGGAGUGUAACUGACGCUUAAGCUCGAAGGUGCGGGUAUCGAACAGGAUUAGAUACCCUGGUAGUCCGCACAGUAAACGAUGGAUGCCCGCUGUUAGCGCCUGGCGUUAGC